RNAcentral lists this ribosomal RNA (379 nucleotides) under uncultured eukaryote. RNAcentral describes it as "SSU rRNA". It matches the Rfam family "Eukaryotic small subunit ribosomal RNA", at positions 587 to 972 of the family's 1831-position model. The record is from RNAcentral.
AGCUCCAAUAGCGUAUAUUAAAGUUGUUGCAGUUAAAAAGCUCGUAGUUGGAUUUCUUGUAUAUGAAGCGGGUCGGCUCAAAGAGUCUGUACUAGCUUUCAUAUACAAUCCUCGUAACAAGCUAUUGAAUGAUUAAAUUCUUUCGGUAGUAAGUUGCGUCAUUUACUGUGAACAAAUUAGAGUGUUUAAAGCAGGCAAAUGCUGUGAAUACAUUAGCAUGGAAUAAUAAGAUAGGACCUAGAGUCUAUUUUGUUGGUUGCGAUUUUAGGUAAUGAUUAAUAGGGAUAGUUGGGGGUAUUCAUAUUCAAUUGUCAGAGGUGAAAUUCUUGGAUUUAUGGAAGAUGAACAACUGCGAAAGCAUUUACCAAGGAUGUUUUCA